AGAGAGAGAGAGAGAGAGAGAGAGAGAGAGAGAGAGAGAGAGAGAGGGGAGAGAGAGAGGCUCCUUUAGAAGGUAAUGAUGGCAAAAGAGGAAUCAUGAUUACAAAGGGACAGGGAAAGAUGAAGAUGAAGUUGAAUUUUUGAAGAUGGAAGAAGAACAAGUAUAAUAAAAACAUUACACAAAAAAAAAAACAGUAUCACAAAAACACUGCCUAACUCUCUCUAUAAUAUCUCUCUUCUU
Molecule: long non-coding RNA, 240 nt
Filed under: Eutrema salsugineum
Lineage: Eukaryota; Viridiplantae; Streptophyta; Magnoliopsida; Brassicales; Brassicaceae
Description: long non-coding RNA (ESAL_LNC001013)
Source: RNAcentral